RNAcentral lists this ribosomal RNA (714 nucleotides) under Triticum aestivum (bread wheat). Its description in RNAcentral is "partial small subunit ribosomal RNA". Lineage: Eukaryota; Viridiplantae; Streptophyta; Magnoliopsida; Poales; Poaceae. The record is from RNAcentral.
AUGUUCGCUGCCCAAUCCCAUUCUCGUGUGAACAACUGCAGCAUCUCUCUCUCCAAUGCACAGAAAGGCUCUCUGAGCGCCUCUGCAUACUUUGGGCAGAUGAGAUCUCGGUCGGAUGAGCUAGCUGCCGCCGGGAGUCCCAUGACUGAAGGAUAUCUUCUUUCUUUCAUCAUUGCAGGGCUUGACAUGGAUUACCAACCCUUGAUCUCGGCGCUGGACGUGCGCACUGCACCCCUCUCAGUGGAUGAUCUCUUUGGCAUGGUCGCAAAUUUCGAUCAAUGCAUUGAGAUGUUCCACGGGACAGGGGCAGGUGCUUUCAAGUCCUCGGCUAAUGCUGCAUCCCGAGGCCGCGAAAACAACAACAACUCCAGCCGCUACCGCAACUCCAACAUGAGUGGUGGUGGUGGAUCUCGCGGUGGUGGCAGCGACCACUACCAGAACGGCGGCGGCAACAACAGCGGCGGCGGCCACUACAACAACCCCAACACCGGUGGUGGCGGCGGCGGCUACAACAACUACAACAGCGACAGCGGUGGUGGUGGCGGCGGCGGUGGCGGCCACUACCAGAACGGCGGCAACAACAAUAGACGUCCCUACUACAACAACAACAGGGGGCGUCCCUUCCAAGGGUAUGAGGAGUAUGAAAAUAAGUGUCAUAUUUGCAAGAAAAAUAAGUAUAUUGCCAAAGAUUGUGAUUGGCGCUAUGCCGAGAAC